This 29-nucleotide non-coding RNA is filed under the name Mus musculus (house mouse). The record is from RNAcentral. Lineage: Eukaryota; Metazoa; Chordata; Mammalia; Rodentia; Muridae.
UNGGCUUCAAGCUGUUCCUGCCUGAAGGG